GGGUCAGUAGGUUGUUCGUGCCACCGGUACGUACUGGUCUCACUGAUGCCUCCUUCCUGAAGAACCGUAAUGCCAUUAAUUUGGUGUUGCGGGGAAACAGGACUGUUACUUUGAAAAAAAUUAGAGUGUUUAAAGCAAGCUAACGCUUGAAUACAUUAGCAUGGAAUAAUGAAAUAGGACGAUCGAUCCUAUUUUGUUGGUUUAUAGGAUUGACGUA
This 217-nucleotide ribosomal RNA is filed under the name Glomeromycotina sp. RNAcentral's name for it is "partial small subunit ribosomal RNA". The stretch from base 54 to 217 matches the Rfam family "Eukaryotic small subunit ribosomal RNA", at positions 700 to 864 of the family's 1831-position model. The record is from RNAcentral. Lineage: Eukaryota; Fungi; Glomeromycota.